GGCUUGGGCAGGAGGGCAUCGCCUGUCCUGCUGAGACAGGAGCCACAGGGCCAUGGAGCCCUGGGCGCUGUGGGACCCUGAGAGGACGCCCAGAGCGGCUCAUGCAGGAGAGUCCUCAAGGCCCAGCGUGCACGCAGAGGGUUCACAACCACCUUCCCUAGGGCGCUCCAGAAGUUGCUUUCUUGUCAAAAACAGGAGAGAGCCUACCCUGCUGUGAGCCGGGAGACGGUGCUGUGCCCUGUCCAGGAGACCAGUGGCAUCUGGGAACAGGGAGGGACCCCAUGAGGCUACUGAGACAGCUGGGCGUUUGACUGCAGUCCCGCCAAGCCCCACUGCUGGGGCGGAUCCGCCCCCGCCCUCUCAAGUGCCUUGUGUUGCUCGGCUGAAGCCCACGGUCAGCAGUCAGCUCAGCGGCCUCCUCGAGGCACCCUGCUCUCACCCUGGCCCAGGGGGGCAGACUGAGGCGCCCCCCCACCGGGAAGCUGUUGGGGGACAUGCACCUGCCCAGGUUCCUCGGGUGCCAGACAGAUGGAAGCCGCGAAUAGAGGCCCCCGUCCUCCGCAUCCUCAGACAGAUCCACCGUGGCACCAGCAGGCUGUGUCGGCCCUAGGGCCUGGCUUCACCCCGCCCCUCCAUGGCCACCGUCCCCAUGCGCAAGCCAAGAGAGGUUGGGAGCUGGCCAAGCCCACCCAGGGCUCCUUGAAGGGCCGACUUCCCGUCCCCAUAGGCUCCCCACCCCUUCUCCCAGGUCUGGAGGCUGAGACCUCUUGGCAACCCCGGGCCCUGUCCUGGGCCCACCCAGCCUGGACUUGGUGACCACCGACUCCCUGUCAUUCUCUAGGCCCCUCUGCUGGUUGUGGCGGGCACUUGAGCAGUGUCUGAUCACUCAGGUCUCCUUGUGGGGUGGCCAGAAAUGUGGCCGUGGCAGAUCCAGGGUUCUUAC
RNAcentral lists this long non-coding RNA (943 nucleotides) under Marmota monax (woodchuck). Lineage: Eukaryota; Metazoa; Chordata; Mammalia; Rodentia; Sciuridae. The record is from RNAcentral.